Molecule: unclassified non-coding RNA, 344 nt
Filed under: soil metagenome
Description: partial contains 5.8S ribosomal RNA, internal transcribed spacer 2, and large subunit ribosomal RNA
Rfam family: 5.8S ribosomal RNA (bases 1-119)
Source: RNAcentral
GAUGAAGAACGUAGCGAAAUGCGAUACGUAAUGUGAAUUGCAAAUUCAGUGAAUCAUCGAGUCUUUGAACGCACAUUGCGCCCCCUGGUAUUCCGGGGGGCAUGCCUGUCCGAGCGUCAUUGCUGCCCUCAAGCACGGCUUGUGUGUUGGGCCCCGUCCUCCGAUCCCGGGGGACGGGCCCGAAAGGCAGCGGCGGCACCGCGUCCGGUCCUCGAGCGUAUGGGGCUUUGUCACCCGCUCUGUAGGCCCGGCCGGCGCUUGCCGACACAUCAAUCUUUUUUCCAGGUUGACCUCGGAUCAGGUAGGGAUACCCGCUGAACUUAAGCAUAUCAAUAAGCGGAGGA